This 1433-nucleotide long non-coding RNA is filed under the name Gopherus agassizii (Agassiz's desert tortoise). RNAcentral describes it as "lncRNA (ENSGAGG00000015487.1)". Lineage: Eukaryota; Metazoa; Chordata; Testudines; Testudinidae. The record is from RNAcentral.
GGGUCCUCUUGGACACCCCAACCCCACAGUCUGUCUUCCAUCCCCACAUAUAUCCCAGUCACUCAUUCACACACUGAGCUAGUACUUCGGGGCUCCCACUGCCCACCAAACUUCUCCAUCCGUGAGCCCUGUGGCCGGGAAGUGGGGACCAGCUCCCAAUUUGGCUGGGCUGGGUGUGGGUGUUAAUCUUUUCCUGGCUUUUCUGUGCUGAGCUCACAAAGGCUUUUUGCUCCCGCGGGGUGGGAUGUGGUUUUUGGCCAAAGGUGACAUGGUUUGGAAGCUCUGUGGAUGCCAUGUGGUCUCUGGAAUGGGGUGUGCCCAUGAUGCCCCUUCCCCUCUAACAGCAGAGCUGAGGAAAGACAGGUCUGAGGAGCAGAGCAGGAGCUCUGGGAAGGAGAAGAGCAAUAUGAAGAUGGAGUUUAAGACGAGGCCAGGUGACUUCUGUGGAGGGAGACAUGCUGGACAACACCAAGAAUUGGGGAGACAACCAGAAGCAGAUCACUUCCAUGCGAGUGACAGCAAAUUCAGCACAUGCUACACGGAGAGGAAGGAUGGGCUUGUGGUUAAGGCACCAGGCAGGAACUCAAGGAGAUCUGGGUUCAAUUUCUGGUUCUGCUACAAAUUUCCUGAAUGACUCUGGGCAAGUCACAAUCUUUCUGUGCCUCUGUUCACUAUCUGUACAACAGCACUUCCUUUCUCUUGCCAAAUUAUAUUGUAAGCUUCUUUGGCCCUAUUUCAUACUAUGUGUACGUAUGGCACUUAAUACAAUGGGACCUUAUUUCGCCUGGGUCUGUGAAAGCAACAGGAAUUAUUAUUUACUUUAAAAAUAAGGAAACGGCAAACACAAAGUAGAAAGGAAAGUUGGGACAGGAAAAUGCAGCUGGAUCUCUCCCGAAUGUCUCUUGUGGUCUUAGCUUUUAGUCACAGUAAGAAGUCAAUUAUGUAGCAAUCAGCGGCUUUGGAGUCACAGGCAGCAUAUUCACCAAGCACAAUACCCACCCCAAAUCAUUUGUUGCUAGGUGGUAGGAGUGAAGGGGUAACUGAGAUCCAACAAGCAAGUACAAAUGGCUUGGCAAGAACUCUCCUCUCUGAACUUUUCAGUAUUGCACUUCAUUAAUCCUUUAUGCUCUUAACAAGCACCAUAAUGGGUAAUAGCCAUGAAGCCUGAAACCUAUUUGAUCAUCCCCUCUCAAAAAGGAUAAAGAAACAGAAAGAGGCCUAAAGAAGGGCAGUGGAAAUUAUCAGUGGUGUAGAAAGACUUCCAUGUAAGGUGAGGUUAGAAAGGUUAGGGCUGCUUAAUUUAGAGAAUUAAAGAAGGGACAUUAGAGAGAGAUAAAAUAACAAAAUAUAUUGAAAAGGUCCACCAGACUCUCCCUCCUUCUCCUGAUAUUAGAACAAGAGGAUAUUCAAUAAAGGCAACAGAUUUAAAACCA